Molecule: ribosomal RNA, 253 nt
Filed under: uncultured bacterium
Lineage: Bacteria
Description: partial 16S ribosomal RNA
Rfam family: Bacterial small subunit ribosomal RNA
Source: RNAcentral
UACGUAGGGGGCAAGCGUUGUCCGGAAUCACUGGGCGUAAAGAGCGUGUAGGCGGCCCGGUAAGUCCGCUGUGAAAGUCCAGGGCUCAACCCUGGGAUGCCGGUGGAUACUGUCGGGCUCGAGUCCGGAAGAGGCGAGUGGAAUUCCUGGUGUAGCGGUGAAAUGCGCAGAUAUCAGGAGGAACACCGAUGGCGAAGGCAGCUCGCUGGGACGUGACUGACGCUGAGACGCGAAAGCGUGGGGAGCAAACAGG